UAUGGAUGGCGACCGGCGCACGGGUGAGUAACACGUAUCCAACCUGCCGACAACACUGGGAUAGCCUUUCGAAAAGAAAGAUUAAUACCGGAUGGCAUAGUUUUCCCGCAUGGGAUAAUUAUUAAAGAAUUUCGGUUGUCGAUGGGGAUGCGUUCCAUUAGGCAGUUGGCGGGGUAACGGCCCACCAAACCAACGAUGGAUAGGGGUUCUGAGAGGAAGGUCCCCCACAUUGGAACUGAGACACGGUCCAA
RNAcentral lists this ribosomal RNA (251 nucleotides) under uncultured bacterium. Its description in RNAcentral is "partial 16S ribosomal RNA". It matches the Rfam family "Bacterial small subunit ribosomal RNA", at positions 83 to 334 of the family's 1533-position model. The record is from RNAcentral.